ACAUGCAGACCAUAUUGAAAUACGCAGAGAAUUCCAUGGAGACUCUGAUGGCUAGGGCACCGUUGAGCUGUUGCAACUGUUCUGCUGGAGCCUUAUGUAUGUGGUUGAAACCACCUGUACUACUGGAAUGAAAGCACCUUUACAGAAGAGGCAAUGCAAGUUGUAUUCAUCACAUGUGUAGAAUGAAUUAAGAUUUAUGCCAGUUGCAAAGAAGAAUAUUGGCUCACUAUUUUUCCUCUGGGCAUCAGCAUAUGAUCCCCUGUUGAAGACAGACAAGUACAUCUUUCUGGUGGCUCCUAGACCUGGCAUUGGGAACAGAAGAUUAUCAGUAUGAUCCGUACGCUUAAGGAAAGAUCUCAUAUUAUUGAAAUGAAUAUUUUAUUUGAUAAAUUGAACUACAGAAUAAAGUACUUUUAACAAACC
Long non-coding RNA from Homo sapiens (human), 423 nucleotides. Ensembl annotates it as MIR924 host gene. Its record names the gene MIR924HG. The record is from Ensembl. Lineage: Eukaryota; Metazoa; Chordata; Mammalia; Primates; Hominidae.